UAAUAGUGACCAUAGCUAAGAUGAUGAAACUUUACGAGUUUCAACGAUUGAAACUAUGAUUUGCUUGAACGAUAUUUUAAGGAUGAUAUUUGGUGAUUAAUGAUUUAUGAACUUACGAAAUUUCUCAUUUUGGAUAUAAUGAUUUGUUUAAAUGUUUGAAAGUAUGAUUUAGUGAACUGCUCUUGAAUGAACUAUAUGAUAUAUUGGAAAUGAUGGUUGAUCCAGUAAGGUAUGUGUGGUUAUACUUCCUGAGCUGUGGUUUACUCAUUCCUUUACUUUCAGUUUUGUAGAUGACUAGAGAUUAAGAGUUUUAGAGUUAUGGGAGCUAAGAGAACAAUUUUGGGAAGUCUAUGUCACGACCCGAUACUCC
This 370-nucleotide long non-coding RNA is filed under the name Theobroma cacao (cacao). RNAcentral describes it as "long non-coding RNA (TCAC_LNC001827)". The record is from RNAcentral. Lineage: Eukaryota; Viridiplantae; Streptophyta; Magnoliopsida; Malvales; Malvaceae.